CCCCGCUGCGUAUUCGUAACGAGAGACUCCGCUAUAUCAGAAUCCCCCUCUACUGAAUCCAUCUAAACUAUAUACAUACUCGUGGUGCUGAACCUUGCUCCGCUCUGCAGUGACAGUUACCAAUAAAAAUGAGAUAAGGAAGGGUCUCCAAUAUCCAACAAAAUGAGAUAAUCUCCUUUUGAAGAGGUUGGGAUUCGAACUCACUACCUUGACUCAGCAGUGGUGGCCUCAACACCAAGUGCCUACUUGAGAAAGCAUUCCAUGAACAGCGCCCCUUUGCUACCCUGAGAAAAGAGGUGGUUGUUAGAUAUUAAAACGACUCAUAUAUCCAUCGCCGUUGAUGUUCAUACAUAUAGGUGUCAAAAGGGGUCAUGCAAAUAGCACCACCACGCCUUAUUCCAUGCUGUGAACUCCCGGAAGAUACCGCUUCUCAUUUUCUGCAUCCCCAGGAAAAGGCGAUCGCCUAACAAUAGAUUUCCCAAAGUAUAUCACAUACACUCUUCGGGCGAACCCUUCACUGGUAGCGUUUAUACUGAACAGUGAUAUCCCGCAAGUGGAUAUCUCCAUGUCGCACGUUAUACGCAUAUAUUAAUGAUUCGGCAUCGACUGUGGCCUUCAUGAUUAUUUGGCGCUCCAACCGUGAAAAGUGUAUCGGGCUCAGUUUACCCUAUGGAGACGCCGCAGAUUGGCUCAACGAGGAUCAGCCUGACGAAUCCAAUCCAAGUAGUAUCUUGGCAAAAAUUUUUCCUUGUACUGUACGAAGGAUCCUCUCAAAAGUUUUGAUUAGAAUUUAAGUUGUAAUAUUGUAACCGGC
RNAcentral lists this small RNA (814 nucleotides) under Histoplasma capsulatum. RNAcentral's name for it is "hypothetical RNA". RNAcentral also lists the same sequence under 1 other name. The record is from RNAcentral. Lineage: Eukaryota; Fungi; Ascomycota; Eurotiomycetes; Onygenales; Ajellomycetaceae.